This 468-nucleotide ribosomal RNA is filed under the name uncultured bacterium. Its description in RNAcentral is "partial 16S ribosomal RNA". It matches the Rfam family "Bacterial small subunit ribosomal RNA", at positions 28 to 507 of the family's 1533-position model. The record is from RNAcentral.
GACGAACGCUGGCGGCGUGCUUAACACAUGCAAGUCGAACGGAAAGGCCCUGCUUUUGUGGGGUGCUCGAGUGGCGAACGGGUGAGUAACACGUGAGUAACCUGCCCUUGACUUUGGGAUAACUUUAGGAAACUGGGGCUAAUACCGGAUAGGAGCUCCUGCUGCAUGGUGGGGGUUGGAAAGUUUCGGCGGUUGGGGAUGGACUCGCGGCUUAUCAGCUUGUUGGUGGGGUAGGGGCUUACCAAGGGUUUGACGGGUAGCCGGCCUGGGAGGGUGGCCGGCCACAUUGGGACUGAGAGACGGCCCAGACGCCUACGGGAGGCAGCAGUGGGGAAUAUUGCACAAUGGGCGGAAGCCUGAUGCAGCAACGCCGCGUGCGGGAUGACGGCCUUCGGGUUGUAAACCGCUUUCGCCUGUGACGAAGCGUGAGUGACGGUAAUGGGUAAAGAAGCACCGGCUAACUACGUG